GAUGAACGCUGGCGGCGUGCCUAAUACAUGCAAGUCGAGCGAACGGACGAGAAGCUUGCUUCUCUGAUGUUAGCGGCGGACGGGUGAGUAACACGUGGAUAACCUACCUAUAAGACUGGGAUAACUUCGGGAAACCGGAGCUAAUACCGGAUAAUAUUUUGAACCGCAUGGUUCAAAAGUGAAAGACGGUCUUGCUUUCACUUAUAGAUGGAUCCGCGCUGCAUUAGCUAGUUGGUAAGGUAACGGCUUACCAAGGCAACGAUGCAUAGCCGACCUGAGAGGGAGAUCGGCCACACUGGAACUGAGACACGGCACCGACUCCUACGGGAGGCAGCAGUAGGGAAUCUUCCGCAAUGGGCGAAAGCCUGACGGAGCAACGCCGCGUGAGUGAUGAAGGUCUUCGGAUCGUAAAACUCUGUUAUUAGGGAAGAACAUAUGUGUAAGUAACUGUGCACAUCUUGACGGUACCUAAUCAGAAAGCCACGGCUAACUACGUG
This 497-nucleotide ribosomal RNA is filed under the name uncultured bacterium. RNAcentral describes it as "partial 16S ribosomal RNA". It matches the Rfam family "Bacterial small subunit ribosomal RNA", at positions 28 to 507 of the family's 1533-position model. The record is from RNAcentral.